Molecule: ribosomal RNA, 433 nt
Filed under: uncultured bacterium
Lineage: Bacteria
Description: bacterial SSU rRNA
Rfam family: Bacterial small subunit ribosomal RNA
Source: RNAcentral
AACGAACGCUGGCGGCAGGCCUUACACAUGCAAGUCGAGCGCACCUUCGGGUGAGCGGCGGACGGGUUAGUAACGCGUGGGAACGUGCCCUUCUCUACGGAAUAGCCUCUGGAAACGGAGAGUAAUACCGUAUACGCCCUUUGGGGGAAAGAUUUAUCGGAGAAGGAUCGGCCCGCGUUAGAUUAGGUAGUUGGUGGGGUAACGGCCUACCAAGCCUACGAUCUAUAGCUGGUUUUAGAGGAUGAUCAGCAACACUGGGACUGAGACACGGCCCAGACUCCUACGGGAGGCAGCAGUGGGGAAUUUUCCGCAAUGGGCGAAAGCCUGACGGAGCAACGCCGCGUGAGGGAUGAAGGCCUCUGGGCUGUAAACCUCUUUUAUCAAGGAAGAAGAUCUGACGGUACUUGAUGAAUAAGCCACGGCUAAUUCCGUG